AGCGGCGGACGGGUGAGUAACACGUGGGCAACCUGCCUGUAAGACUGGGAUAACACCGGGAAACCGGAGCUAAUACCGGAUAAUCCUUUUCCUCUCAUGAGGAAAAGCUGAAAGACGGUUUCGGCUGWCACUUACAGAUGGGCCCGCGGCGCAUUAGCUAGUUGGUGAGGUAACGGCUCACCAAGGCGACGAUGCGUAGCCGACCUGAGAGGGUGAUCGGCCACACUGGGACUGAGACACGGCCCAGACUCCUACGGGAGGCAGCAGUAGGGAAUCUUCCACAAUGGACGAAAGUCUGAUGGAGCAACGCCGCGUGAGCGAUGAAGGCCUUCGGGUCGUAAAGCUCUGUUGUUAGGGAAGAACAAGUAUCGGAGUAACUGCCGGUACCUUGACGGUACCUAACCAGAAAGCCACGGCUAACUACGUGCCAGCAGCCGCGGUAAUACGUAGGUGGCAAGCGUUGUCCGGAAUUAUUGGGCGUAAAGCGCGCGCAGGCGGUUCCUUAAGUCUGAUGUGAAAGCCCCCGGCUCAACCGGGGAGGGUCAUUGGAAACUGGGGAACUUGAGUGCAGAAGAGAAGAGCGGAAUUCCACGUGUAGCGGUGAAAUGCGUAGAGAUGUGGAGGAACACCAGUGGCGAAGGCGGCUCUUUGGUCUGUAACUGACGCUGAGGCGCGAAAGCGUGGGGAGCAAACAGGAUUAGAUACCCUGGUAGUCCACGCCGUAAACGAUGAGUGCUAAGUGUUAGAGGGUUUCCGCCCUUUAGUGCUGCAGCUAACGCAUUAAGCACUCCGCCUGGGGAGUACGGCCGCAAGGCUGAAACUCAAAGGAAUUGACGGGGGCCCGCACAAGCGGUGGAGCAUGUGGUU
This 867-nucleotide ribosomal RNA is filed under the name Bacillus sp. A3S2. RNAcentral's name for it is "bacterial SSU rRNA". It matches the Rfam family "Bacterial small subunit ribosomal RNA", at positions 94 to 946 of the family's 1533-position model. The record is from RNAcentral. Lineage: Bacteria; Bacillati; Bacillota; Bacilli; Caryophanales; Bacillaceae.